GUUUUUUCAUCGUAAGGCGUAAAGUUGGACGGAGCAAAGAAUAUUAUUUCCUUGGGUAUGGUAUGGCCUAUAUGCUAGCUGAUAUACGGUCCCCCGGUUAAUUAGAAAGUUAGACGAGCUGACUAGGACACAUUACAACCACGUCGAAGUUGAUAAAAGCAUAUAAUUUACGAGAAC
Long non-coding RNA from Dendronephthya gigantea, 177 nucleotides. RefSeq lists it as uncharacterized. Lineage: Eukaryota; Metazoa; Cnidaria; Anthozoa; Malacalcyonacea; Nephtheidae. The record is from RefSeq and is a predicted model, not a curated record. The transcript is spliced from 3 exons.